UGGCAUGCAAAUAUUUCAACUGGCAUACUCUCAAGUCGACUAUAGUGCUAUUUGAGUCAACUCCAAUGAAGAAUGACAGAAAAAUAAUUUUUCAGAAUCAAAAAAUUUGAAUGGACCCACUAGAUUUGAGUGGACUCACAGACUACUCAAGUCGACUCAAUUAUUCAAGUAGAAGUCCUCAAAAAUGAUAGAAAACAGUAUUUUUUGGACUUGUAGCUUGAGUAGACUCAAAAUUGGCCAAGUAGACUUGAAGGGUAUUC
RNAcentral lists this long non-coding RNA (260 nucleotides) under Elaeis guineensis (African oil palm). Its description in RNAcentral is "long non-coding RNA (EGUI_LNC047610)". Lineage: Eukaryota; Viridiplantae; Streptophyta; Magnoliopsida; Arecales; Arecaceae. The record is from RNAcentral.